GGGAAACUUUGUCUUACCAUUAGUGUUUCCUUGGAGAACUGUCCUCUGACACACAAGUUGAACUAGCGGCAUCAAGAAACUAACCUGUGAUGUCCAGAAGGGUAAAGAGUUUGCAUCCCUAGAGACUAUCGCAGAACUCAACACCUGCCAGAAGCUUGAAAAUGCCCAUUAAAGAAAGGAACACAAUGCGAAAUUUGGAUUUUUCCCUCUGAACAGAAAUACUUUGAAAUCAUCAAACACGCAAGAACACGCCAAAAAGGCCUGGUGACGCCACUCUGCAGCGUCGCCUUCCGGCGUACCAUUUCCGGCGCCCAGCUG
RNAcentral lists this long non-coding RNA (318 nucleotides) under Felis catus (domestic cat). RNAcentral's name for it is "lncRNA (ENSFCAG00000048447.1)". The record is from RNAcentral. Lineage: Eukaryota; Metazoa; Chordata; Mammalia; Carnivora; Felidae.